Molecule: non-coding RNA, 164 nt
Filed under: bovine gut metagenome
Source: RNAcentral
CAUCGUGAGGUGCAGGCGAGAAGAAGCAAUAGCGAAAUCGUGGCCCUACGGACAGGAACUGGAUAUGAAGGCGUACACGGCGGGCAAGAUGACUACAGACAUCAAAGACCCUAAAGGCAACCGUAACCCGCGUGCGUAAAUCCAGAGGGUAAACGAGGAAAGAC